ACCAAUCACACUACCAACAACGCUUAUAUGUGAAAUGGAUAUGGGAGUGUUGGAAGAGUGUCUUUGUGUACUUGCUCAUAUCCAAAGGACUUUUCAAGUAUGGAUAAUGCAGGAUUAUGAAGUUUCAGACUCUUGGACUAAACUUUAUACCAUUACGUACGAGAGCAUACCAUGUUCUAUUCAUUUUGCAUCGAAACCUAUCGGCUCUUUUAAGGAUGGUGAGAUUCUGUUUAUGAACUUAGGUCACUUAACUUUAUAUGACCCAAAGUAUGGAGCUACGAGAAAACCAAAUUUCCGUGGUUUAAGGGUGCGGAAUGCAGUGAGUUAUUUUGAAAGCUUGGUUUCCUUAAACUCUGUUACUGCCGUGGGAAGAAGGAAGAAGAGAGAAAUCACUAGAAACAGGAACGUGUCCAAGCAUAAAGGAGGCUGAGAGGGUAUUGCUGGAUGUAAGGCAUCAGAUGGGAAGCAGAACUGAAAGAGGAGAAUGGACGUGCCAUAUUCAAGACGUAUACAUCCCAUUCAUAUGAAGCUCCAAUUUUGUGGUGCGAAUGGAUGCUUGAAUUUCUCGAGUAUAUUUGCCCCACCAGAUAUGAAGAAUAAUCAUUGUUGGACCAGCUGUUGGAUGAUGGAAAAACUUGGGCAUCCUAGGUUAUCUUCGCUCACAGAGAUGGAACAAGAGAAGCUAGCCUCAAGUUCGGAAAUUCGCAAGGACCGCAACAUAUGCAUGCACCUGGGCGUCACCAGUUUGUGGACCUCAUUGCCAAUCUCAUCUCCAAGCUUGGUUCGGGUCUGGUAAUUGCUGGUUCUGUUCAAGAAACUUCUUCCUCUUCGUUGGAAGUGCAGGAAACACA
Molecule: long non-coding RNA, 851 nt
Organism: Papaver somniferum (opium poppy)
Lineage: Eukaryota; Viridiplantae; Streptophyta; Magnoliopsida; Ranunculales; Papaveraceae
Exons: 3
Source: RefSeq, a predicted model, not a curated record